RNAcentral lists this ribosomal RNA (468 nucleotides) under uncultured bacterium. Its description in RNAcentral is "partial 16S ribosomal RNA". It matches the Rfam family "Bacterial small subunit ribosomal RNA", at positions 28 to 507 of the family's 1533-position model. The record is from RNAcentral.
GACGAACGCUGGCGGCGUGCUUAACACAUGCAAGUCGAACGGAAAUGCCCUGCUUUUGUGGGGUGCUCGAGUGGCUAACGGGUGAGUAACACGUGAGUAACCUGCCCUUGACUUUGGGAUAACUUCAGGAAACUGGGGCUAAUACCGGAUAGGAGCUCCUGCUGCAUGGUGGGGGUUGGAAAGUUUCGGCGGUUGGGGAUGGACUCGCGGCUUAUCAGCUUGUUGGUGGGGUAGUGGCUUAACAAGGCUUUGACGGGUAAGCGGGCUGGGAGGGUGACCGGCGAAAAUGGGACAGAGGAAAGGGCAAGAAUCCAAACGGAGGCAACAAGGGGGAAAAAUGGAAAAAGGGGGGAAAGCUGAGGGAGCAAAGAAGGAGGCGGGAUGAAAGCCUUCGGGUUGUAAACCGCUUUCGCAUGUGACGAAGCGUGAGUGACGGUAAUGGGUAAAGAAGCACCGGCUAACUACGUG